RNAcentral lists this unclassified non-coding RNA (329 nucleotides) under soil metagenome. RNAcentral describes it as "partial contains 5.8S ribosomal RNA, internal transcribed spacer 2, and large subunit ribosomal RNA". The stretch from base 1 to 120 matches the Rfam family "5.8S ribosomal RNA", at positions 35 to 154 of the family's 154-position model. The record is from RNAcentral.
GAUGAAGAACGUAGUGAAAUGCGAUAAGUAGUGUGAAUUGCAGAAUUCAGUGAAUCAUCGAAUCUUUGAACGCAUAUUGCGCCCCUUGGUAUCCCGAGGGGCAUGCCUGUUCGAGCGUCAUUUCACCACUCAAGCCUGGCUUGGUGUUGGGCGACGUCCCCUUUGGGGACGCGCCUCGAAACGCUCGGCGGCGUGGCACCGGCUUUAAGCGUAGCAGAAUCUUUCGCUUUGGAAGUCGGGGCCCCGUCUGCCGGAAGACCUACUCGCAAGGUUGACCUCGGAUCAGGCAGGGAUACCCGCUGAACUUAAGCAUAUCAAUAAGCGGAGGA